UCAAAAGUGUCAAAAAUUAAAAAACGGGUGAGAAUUGACAGACAUUUAAAUUAUGCAAUUGCGUUGUGUGUUGGUGGUGCAGUUAGGAUUUGAAUUACUUUUCGUAUAAAUUCACUGGAAAGGAAGAUUUGGCCAAAUUUGGGAAUUUCAGACUCGAGCGAUUCUAUCCUCAAAGCAGUUAAAAUCUAUUUCCAAACUGCCAACCCCUGACUGUUUCCUUGGCAGAUAAACACCCCCAUAUGCUUGUAUCCCAAUUGAUGUUAUUUUGGACAAGUCUAGAGAAACCCCAGAGUCAUUGACCAAUUUUCCUUCAUAAUACGGUUUGAAGUCUUGUAGAGAAAGUAUCUCUUCUUGAAAAUUGUCAGGGGCUUCAAAGAAAUUACAGAAUGAAUAAUUAUAUCUCGCUUCUUUGAGAAUAAAUUUGUAGCCUUUGAAAGACCCUUGUCCUCUCACUUUGAGUGAAAUGCUCCUAAAACCACUUAAAUCAAGGGGUAUUUGUUUCUGGACGCCUGCAAAAGCAGCCCCACACGGUUGAGGAUUAAGCAAUGUGAAUAAAAUUGCUCGUUGGAAAUUUACAGUUUUUUGAAGGACUAAGCUCCCUUUUGAUUUUCCUACGUCUUGUACAGUAUCAGAUUGUUCACUCCAAUGAGAAAUUUCUGUAACAUCGUUGAAAUUUUCUAUGUACUUGCUCCUGUAAUAAUUUAACGAUUAAAUUAUGUAAAUGUUU
This is a long non-coding RNA of Tribolium madens (black flour beetle), 727 nucleotides long. RefSeq lists it as uncharacterized. The transcript has 2 exons. Lineage: Eukaryota; Metazoa; Arthropoda; Insecta; Coleoptera; Tenebrionidae. The record is from RefSeq and is a predicted model, not a curated record.